This 441-nucleotide ribosomal RNA is filed under the name uncultured bacterium. RNAcentral describes it as "partial 16S ribosomal RNA". It matches the Rfam family "Bacterial small subunit ribosomal RNA", at positions 338 to 795 of the family's 1533-position model. The record is from RNAcentral.
CCUACGGGUGGCAGCAGUGGGGAAUAUUGCACAAUGGGGGAAACCCUGAUGCAGCGACGCCGCGUGAGUGAAGAAGUUUUUCGGUAUGUAAAGCUCUAUCAGCAGGGAAGAAGAAGGACGGUACCUGACUAAGAAGCUCCGGCUAACUACGUGCCAGCAGCCGCGGUAAUACGUAGGGGGCAAGCGUUAUCCGGAUUUACUGGGUGUAAAGGGAGCGUAGACGGCAGUACAAGUCAGAUGUGAAAACUAUGGGCUCAACCCAUAGCCUGCAUUUGAAACUGUAUUUCUUGAGUGCAGGAGAGGAAAGUGGAAUUCCGUGUGUAGCGGUGAAAUGCGUAGAUAUAAGGAGGAACACCAGUGGCGAAGGCGGAUUGCUGGACAGUAACUGACGCUGAGGCGCGAAAGUGUGGGGAGCAAACAGGAUUAGAUACCCGUGUAGUC